UGUAAGGAAGCCCUAAGUAGAGCAGUGAUGAUGUGGUUGCUGAGCACUUUCUUCCUGACAACUGUUUUUUCUUGUGGCUCUGCACAAGACUUGCAGCAAACACCUAUAUCUAUCACCAAGCCAAAAGGCAAAACAGUGCUAAUCAACUGCCAUGUCUCCAGUCCUGAUUUUAGCAACGUUUUUAUUCACUGGUACCAAAAGAAGGUCAAUGAAGCUCCCAAGCGUGUUGCCUACAUGUCCUCCAGGUUUUUCCUUGAAAACCAGUCUGAUGAGGGGAAGUUCACUGUUGAGAAGGAUCCCAGCAAAUCUGUCUGCACCCUGACAUUGAGCAAAGUAACUCUGCAAGACUCUGCCACCUACUACUGCGCUAAGUGGGAUGCACAGUAG
Molecule: non-coding RNA, 387 nt
Organism: Corvus hawaiiensis (hawaiian crow)
Lineage: Eukaryota; Metazoa; Chordata; Aves; Passeriformes; Corvidae
Source: the annotation of a RefSeq genome assembly